Molecule: ribosomal RNA, 468 nt
Filed under: uncultured bacterium
Lineage: Bacteria
Description: partial 16S ribosomal RNA
Rfam family: Bacterial small subunit ribosomal RNA
Source: RNAcentral
GACGAACGCUGGCGGCGUGCUUAACACAUGCAAGUCGAACGGAAAGGCCCUGCUUUUGUGGGGUGCUCGAGUGGCGAACGGGUGAGUAACACGUGAGUAACCUGCCCUUGACUUUGGGAUAACUUCAGGAAACUGGGGCUAAUACCGGAUAGGAGCUCCUGCUGCAUGGUGGGGGUUGGAAAGUUUCGGCGGUUGGGGACGGACUCGCGGCUUAUCAGCUUGUUGGUGGGGUAGUGGCUUACCAAGGCUUUGACGGGUAGCCGGCCUGCGAGGGUGACCGGCCACAUUGGGACUGAGAUACGGCCCAGACUCCUACGGGAGGCAGCAGUGGGGAAUAUUGCACAAUGGGCGGAAGCCUGAUGCAGCAACGCCGCGUGCGGGAUGACGGCCUUCGGGUUGUAAACCGCUUUCGCCUGUGACGAAGCGUGAGUGACGGUAAUGGGUAAAGAAGCACCGGCUAACUACGUG